Molecule: long non-coding RNA, 938 nt
Organism: Felis catus (domestic cat)
Lineage: Eukaryota; Metazoa; Chordata; Mammalia; Carnivora; Felidae
Exons: 2
Source: RefSeq, a predicted model, not a curated record
AUAUUGUACUCUAAAUAUUGGGGCCACAUGAUAAAAAAGAUUAAAUUCCUGCCUUUGUGGCCUUUAAUGGCCUUCUAAUGGGGAGAUAAAUAUGAAACAGAGUUUCAGUUUUACAGUGUUUAGGUGAUGUAAACAAAAUAAAGUAGAGUGAGUAAACCCCAAGAGAACAAAGGGGCAGGUGUGUGGUUUAAAUAUGGUGGUUGGGGGUGGAGGGGUCAGGAGACUGUGUGGUAUGGAUACGUGAGCCAGGGAAGAUCUUUAUGGGCAGAAGUUUAGCAGGUGAGAGUCCUGAAGUGGAAAUGAGCUUGCAGGCUCAAAGCAACAAGCAGUCUGAGUUGCUGGGACAGGGAAACUGAUAGCAUGCUAGGAGAUGAGCAGGCCAGCCCCUAAAGUUUCAGGAUCAGGUUCGAGUCAAAAUGAAGGUUAAAAAUCUUAUGUCUAUGAAUUUAACAGUUACAAAUCAAACUAUACUCAUGGCCUGGUCAGCAUUUCUACUUCUUGACCUCGAAGUUAAAGGGACAUGUUCUUGCUUCUUUGGCCAGGUUGGCAUCUACAAGCCUGACUGAGAACAUUGAUCUGUUGAGGCUGGGUAGGGGAGAAGUUGGGCUUGCAUGCAUGCAAGACUCCUAAAUGAUGAUGAGAUCUACCUGAACCCACUAGAGAGCUUGACCUGGUUCAACUGAGACCUGAACUGUGGCAGAUGUUCCUCCUCAGGCCUAAUUUUGCUAACUCACGAUUUCCAGCCUUCCAGCCUUUAAAAUGCCUUCCAAAAGUAUCCCAUCAUAGAGAAGACAGCAUGGCUACCCAGGAGAUACGGCCUUUUGGAGAACUUGGGAGAUCCCAACUUUAAAGAGGUGCAGAGUUAUGGGGAGAAGAUCCAGCACUGUUUGGACCACAGGGAAAGCAGGCCUUCAGACGAGAGUCGGGAGUAUCUUGAA